This 794-nucleotide long non-coding RNA is filed under the name Lactuca sativa (garden lettuce). RNAcentral describes it as "long non-coding RNA (LSAT_LNC003961)". Lineage: Eukaryota; Viridiplantae; Streptophyta; Magnoliopsida; Asterales; Asteraceae. The record is from RNAcentral.
GGUGGUGGGUAGUGGUGAGUGGUGAUAGGUGGUGGGUGAUGAGUGGUAGGUGGCGAUGGUAGUGGUGGGUGACGGUGGAGGGUGGUGGUGGUAGGUAUUGAGUUUAAUCACAUGUGAUUAUAUGUAUUUAAUCAUAUGUGAUUCACUUGGAAAAGAUUUGUUUUAACGAAUCUUGUUUAUAUAAAUCAUAUCUGAUUAGAUACAUAUAAUCACACGUGAUUAUAUGUAUUUAAUCACAUAUGAUUUAUGUGAUUAAAUACAUAUAAAUAAUACAUAUAAUCACACAUGAUUUAUGUAAUGAUAUGUAUUUAAUCACAUAUAAUGUUAGUGGUUGUAGGUAGUGGGUGGUCGUCGUAUGGUAGCGAUGCUUGGUGGUGGUGGGAGUGUGGUGGUGUUGGGUGGGUAUAGUUGUGGCAGGUGGUGGUGGUGGGUGACGGUGGAGGGUGGUGGUGGUAGGUAUUGAGUUUAAUCACAUGUGAUUAUAUGUAUUUAAUCACAUGUGAUUUAUUUGGAAAAGAUUUGUUUUAACGAAUCUUGUUUAUAUAAAUCAUAUCUGAUUAGAUACAUAUAAUCACACGUGAUUAUAUGUAUUUAAUCACAUAUGAUUUAUGUGAUUAAAUACAUAUAAAUAAUACAUAUAAUCACACAUGAUUUAAGUAAUUAUAUGUAUUUAAUCACAUAUAAUAUUAGUGGUUGUAGGUAGUGGGUGGUGGUCGUAUGGUGGCGAUGCUUGGUGGUGGUGGGGGGGGGGUGGUAGGUAUUGAGUUUAAUCACAUGUGAUUAUAUGUAUUUAA